Molecule: long non-coding RNA, 952 nt
Filed under: Parus major (Great Tit)
Lineage: Eukaryota; Metazoa; Chordata; Aves; Passeriformes; Paridae
Description: lncRNA (ENSPMJG00000019408.1)
Source: RNAcentral
AACUGUUAAAACCAGCAGACAUUCAGGCAACCAGACCAACACUGGGAAUGCUAAAUGUUGCACGCUCAAAACCAUAUGAGCAAAGCAUUUGUUUGCCCUCAAACCUAGGGAACAGCCUACUAAUAAAGCUACCCCAAGUGAAUUAAAAGAAGCUUUCUUGACCUAAAAGGAGCUAUUCUUUCAAAGCAUGUGGUUUUCCAGUGGAACACAUACAAGAAUGGCUGGUUUUGAAGUGGAAAGACAAAAGAACUUACUGAUAGCACAAGGGAAAAGGCACACACAUAGAGGGUGUGCAAGAAGUGUUUAAAGACACGUUCAGCAACUGGCAUUCAGACAUGAAGAAGAAAUUCUGCAGUAAGCACAGCUACUCCACACCAUUGUGCUCAUAUCCUGUGCAAAACAGCUGGAGACAGAACACAAAGGCAAUUUUUCCUAUUGCUCCGACACUCGGACAGAAGGAGCAACCCUGCGGAGUGUUCAGCAAAGAUGCCGCUCCUUCUACCCUGCCCCAGCAGGAGAUCCAUCUCCAUGCUGCCCGCCGGAGAUCCGUGCGCCCCGCAGCAGCGCUCGGGCUCUCCGCGGGCUCGCAGCUGCAUCCAACAGCAGAGGGAGCUCCGCGAGAGGAAGAGGAGCAGGCGAAGCUCGGCAGGAGCAGCCCCAGGAAGGAGGGAGGCGGGCAGGGGUGAGCAGAGGUAACCGCAGGCUGCUCUGCUGCACCAGAAAGUUUCAGUGACAUUUUGAGAAACUCUGGUGCCACGGUUCACACCAGGAUGAAAGGAAAGCAGUGAAUAUGUCUUUGUGGCACCCACUGGAAGCUGAUGGCCAUUUCUGCCGCAUUUGGGAUGACAGCAAUACCAGCCAGCCACAUCACAGCCCCUACAAAGCCAGAUCGUGGCUAUGACUCUCUAGCCACAGAGAUCAGAGCAAGGAAAUAAAUAUAUUGGUCUUUCCA